GAACCCGUUACAGCUUACCCUGCACCUCCCGUGGCGGCCGGACCCAGUUCAGCAUACCCACCGCCUUAUGCAGCACCGUAUUCGUCGGCGGCAAGUACCGGAUAUUAUCCGCCACCGGCAGGCGGGUAUCCACCAUCCGCCUACCCACCUUCAGGAUACCCGCAGCCUGCUCCUGCUGCGACGGGUUAUGGAUACCCACCAGCACAAGCAUACGGCGGUUACCCACCACCGCCGCCUAAUGGAUAUGGGUACCCGCACCAACAGGGAUAUGGAUACCAGCCCCAACAGGGAUAUGGGUACCCACAGGUGCAACGACCGCCAAAGAAGAACAAGUUUGGUGGUGGUGGAGCUGGGUUAGGGCUUGGAUUGUUGGGAGGAGCUCUUGGUGGGAUGUUGAUUGGUGACAUGAUUUCAGAUGCCGGGUCUUAUGAUGGUGGGUAUGAUGCAGGAUUUGAUGAUGCUGGUGGGUUUGAUUUUUGAAGACUUUUUUUUAUUUUUAUUUUUUAUAUAUAUAUAUUUGGAUUUUGUAGUUGAUAAAUUUGGGAAUUUUCUUUAUGGGCCUUGAGCUACAAUUUGUGUUGAUUUGGUCAUCAUAUCAUAUGAAUAAGUAAUCUACUGUGAUCUUAGUGUUGACCGACUUGUGUAUUUAUUAAUGUUGAAUCUAAAGUAUAGGUAGAUGAACAAAUGUUCCGACUUUUUUUUAGAAUCUUGAUAAAUUGAGCAGGGCAAAUAAUUA
Molecule: long non-coding RNA, 736 nt
Filed under: Panax ginseng (ginseng)
Lineage: Eukaryota; Viridiplantae; Streptophyta; Magnoliopsida; Apiales; Araliaceae
Description: long non-coding RNA (PGIN_LNC017385)
Source: RNAcentral